AGCAGCCGCGGUAAUUCCAGCUCCAAUAGCGUAUAUUAAAGUUGUUGCAGUUAAAAAGCUCGUAGUUGAAUUUCGGGGUCAGCAGGUCGGUCGUGCCAAUGGUAUGCACUGGCCUUGCUGAUUCCUCCCUCUUGAUGAGCCGUAAUGUCAUUAAUUUGGUGUUGCGGGGAAUCAGGACUGUUACUUUGAAAAAAUUAGAGUGUUUAAAGCAGGCAAGCGCUUGAAUACAUUAGCAUGGAAUAAUGAAAUAGGACGUUUGAUCCUAUUUUGUUGGUUUCUAGGAUUGACGUAAUGAUUAAUAGGGAUAGUUGGGGGCAUUAGUAUUCAAUUGUCAGAGGUGAAAUUCUUGGAUUUAUUGAAGACUAACUACUGCGAAAGCAUUUGCCAAGGAUGUUUUCAUUAAUCAAGAACGAAAGUUAGGGGAUCGAAGACGAUCAGAUACCGUCGUAGUCUUAACCAUAAACUAUGCCGACUAGGGAUCGGAUGAUGUUAAUUUUUUAAUGACUCU
This 508-nucleotide ribosomal RNA is filed under the name uncultured Glomus. RNAcentral's name for it is "SSU rRNA". It matches the Rfam family "Eukaryotic small subunit ribosomal RNA", at positions 569 to 1078 of the family's 1831-position model. Lineage: Eukaryota; Fungi; Glomeromycota; Glomeromycetes; Glomerales; Glomeraceae. The record is from RNAcentral.